UGUUAAUCAAUCCUUGUGUUUCCCUCUUUAUUACGAUGCCUGCCCCACUCAGCUAUGUCUUGUUCUGUGAUUAGUUCCUUGUGGAUUUAUACCUGUCUGUUCUUUGAGUUCUUUGAGAGUUUGUGGUCCUGGUCCAUGUAUCCCGCGAUACUGGCCUUCGGUCCUGCAUCCUGGUUGCCCUCUGGAUCUGUUAUGUCCUUCAGCACUGCCCCCAUGCUGCCUGCCUGAGGUCUCUUGCUCCACUCCUGUUCAGCUGCCAGGGUGCCCGCCUGGGGUCUCCUGCUCCGCCCUUGUACUGCCCCCAGGCAACUUGCCCCUGUCUGUUCUUUGAGUUCUUUGUCCGUUCGUGGUCAAUGUAUCCCGGUGUUUGCAACUGUCUUUUACUCUUCAUUUUUGCUCAUCGUGUUUCAAGUGAGCCAGUUCUGUUUUUGUCUUCAUCUGCCAGUAACCAGAUUCUGGCAAAUAAAUACUUAUUUUCUUCA
Long non-coding RNA from Thunnus maccoyii (southern bluefin tuna), 482 nucleotides. RefSeq lists it as uncharacterized. Lineage: Eukaryota; Metazoa; Chordata; Actinopteri; Scombriformes; Scombridae. The record is from RefSeq and is a predicted model, not a curated record. The transcript is spliced from 2 exons.